AUUGAACGCUGGCGGCAUGCUUUACACAUGCAAGUCGUACGAGUGGCGAACGGGUGAGUAAUAUAUCGGAACGUACCGAGUAAUGGGGGAUAACUAAUCGAAAGAUUAGCUAAUACCGCAUAUUAUUCGAGCGGCCGCUAUCUGAUUAGCUAGUUGGUGGGGUAAAGGCCUACCAUGGCGACGAUCAGUAGCGGGUCUGAGAGGAUGAUCCGCGACACUGGUACUGUGACACGGCCCAGACUCCUACGGGAGGCAGCAGUGGGGAAUUGUGGACAAUGGGCGCAAGCCUGAUCCAGCCAUGCCGCGUGUCUGAAGAAGGCCUUCGGGUUGUAAAGUACUUUUGUCAGGGAAGCGGUACCUGAAGAAUAAGCCCCGGCUAACUACGGGCCAGCAGCCGCGGUAAUAC
Molecule: ribosomal RNA, 406 nt
Filed under: uncultured bacterium
Lineage: Bacteria
Description: partial 16S ribosomal RNA
Rfam family: Bacterial small subunit ribosomal RNA
Source: RNAcentral